GACGAACGCUGGCGGCGUGCUUAACACAUGCAAGUCGAACGGAAAGGCCCUGCUUUCGUGGGGUGCUCGAGUGGCGAAAGGGUGAGUAACACGUGAGUAACCUGCCCUUGACUUUGGGAUAACUUCAGGAAACUGGGGCUAAUACCGGCUAGCAGCUCCUGCUGCAUGGUGGGGGUUGGAAAGUUUCGGCGGUUGGGGAUGGACUCGCGGCUUAUCAGCUUGUUGGUGGGGUAGUGGCUUACCAAGGCUUUGACGGGUAGCCGGCCUGAGAGGGUGACCGGCCACAUUGGGACUGAGGUACGGCCCAGACUCCUACGGGAGGCAGCAGGGGGGAAUAUUGCACAAUGGUCGGAAGCCUGAUGCAGCAACGCCGCGUUCGGGAUGACGGCCUUCUGGUUGUAAACCGCUUUCGCCUGUGACGAAGCGUGAGUGACGGUAAUGAGUAAAGAAGCACCGGCUAACUACGUG
Molecule: ribosomal RNA, 468 nt
Filed under: uncultured bacterium
Lineage: Bacteria
Description: partial 16S ribosomal RNA
Rfam family: Bacterial small subunit ribosomal RNA
Source: RNAcentral